AAAGCAGGGCUUAUCAGUUAAAAAGCUGAAAAAAGACAAGGCAGCGGGAGCAACAAGGAAAGCCACUCGUCCUGAGACAAACAUUGUAACUAUGGCACCAAGAGUCAAACCAGAGCUUCCUUUGCCUACAAUUUCAGUCGAGGUUGAGCAGUCUAUACUUGAUGACUUGAGAAACCGUGUACAGCUGAGCAGUGUUGCUCUGCCAUCCGUUAGUUUUUAUACAUUUAUCAAUGCACAUAAUGGUUUAAACAGUUCAACUAUAUCCCCUGACGGGUCAUUGGUUGCUGCUGGAUUUUUAGAUUCAUCACUGAAG
This is a long non-coding RNA of Humulus lupulus (European hop), 313 nucleotides long. RefSeq lists it as uncharacterized. The transcript is spliced from 3 exons. The record is from RefSeq and is a predicted model, not a curated record. NCBI's taxonomy places the organism in Eukaryota, Viridiplantae, Streptophyta, Magnoliopsida, Rosales, Cannabaceae.